AAAAGCAAUUACUUUGGCCACUGAUUACUUCCCAUGCAGAUAGCGAGUACUCCAACUGCAGAGCGCUGGGGAAGACCACAGCUUUAUGUGAUGGACUACAAUAUCUGGAGGAGUUAAUUAAUCUUGUGGGGUAAAAUUUCAUCAGCCACAUUCAGCAGUAAGUGGAGUGACAGCAGUGAACUGAGCUCAAGAGGGACAAGCUACUUCCAUCCAGGGACAAGCCUCAUUUUGCACUGCUGCCUCUUCUCCCUUGGCUGAUCCCACCACCAUCCCUUGUGCUGCCACUCAGGACGUCUACAUGAAGCAGAAGCCUGGAGCAAGCUGCACGAGCACCCACACCCCAGCCUGUGUGGCAGAGCAUCACCAUGCUCAGGUUUGCAGUCAGGCUGCUGUGGUUUUGAGGGACAGACCAGCUAGUUGGAAGAGCCCUUACUUCCAAGGUUUUCAAUACCAUUCCUUACUGGUCCAGGCCUAGAAGACACCAAGGCCUCCUCACGCACAAGAUUCCCGU
Molecule: long non-coding RNA, 511 nt
Organism: Pezoporus occidentalis (night parrot)
Lineage: Eukaryota; Metazoa; Chordata; Aves; Psittaciformes; Psittacidae
Exons: 3
Source: RefSeq, a predicted model, not a curated record